GAGGGUAUAGCUCAAAUGGCAGAGCACAUGCUUAGCAUGCACGAGGUCUUGGUUUCCAUCCCCAGUACCUCCA
Molecule: transfer RNA, 73 nt
Filed under: Camelus bactrianus (Bactrian camel)
Lineage: Eukaryota; Metazoa; Chordata; Mammalia; Artiodactyla; Camelidae
Also listed under: 2 other names
Rfam family: tRNA
About the family: Transfer RNA (tRNA) molecules are approximately 80 nucleotides in length.
Source: Rfam by way of RNAcentral